GAAUCUUCCGCAAUGGACGAAAGUCUGACGGAGCAACGCCGCGUGAGUGAUGAAGGCUUUCGGGUCGUAAAACCCUGUUGUUAGGGAAGAACAAGCGCUAGUUGAAUAAGCUGGCACCUUGACGGUACCUACCCAGAAAGCCACGGCUAACUACGUGCCAGCCGCCGCGGUAAUACGUAGGUGGCAAGCGUUAUCCGGAAUUAUUGGGCGUAAAGCGGGCGCAGGUGGUUUCUUAAGUCUGAUGUGAAAGCCCACGGCUCAACCGUGGAGGGUCAUUGGAAACUGGGAGACUUGAGUGCAGAAGAGGAAAGUGGAAUUCCAUGUGUAGCGGUGAAAUGCGUAGAGAUAUGGAGGAACACCAGUGGCGAAGGCGACUUUCUGGUCUGUAACUGACACUGAGGCGCGAAAGCGUGGGGAGCAAACAGG
RNAcentral lists this ribosomal RNA (426 nucleotides) under uncultured bacterium. Its description in RNAcentral is "bacterial SSU rRNA". It matches the Rfam family "Bacterial small subunit ribosomal RNA", at positions 359 to 776 of the family's 1533-position model. The record is from RNAcentral.